Molecule: ribosomal RNA, 453 nt
Filed under: Acrobeloides sp. Sourhope farm
Lineage: Eukaryota; Metazoa; Nematoda; Chromadorea; Rhabditida; Cephalobidae
Description: SSU rRNA
Rfam family: Eukaryotic small subunit ribosomal RNA
Source: RNAcentral
GCCAUGCAUGUCUAAGUAUAAACGAUUUAAUCGUGAAACCGCGAAUGGCUCAUUAUAACAGCUAUAAUUUACUUGAUCUUGACACAAUCCUACUUGGAUAACUGUGGUAAUUCUAGAGCUAAUACAUGCAUUAAAGCUCUGACCUCACGGGAAGAGUGCAUUUAUUAGAACAAAACCAAGCGGCUUCGGCUGUUUCUGGUUGACUCAUAGUAACUGAGCUGAUCGCAUGGUCUUGCACCGGCGACGUGUCUUUCAAGUAUCUGCCGUAUCAACUUUCGAUGGUAGUGUAUCUGACUACCAUGGUGAUCACGCGUAACGGAGAAUAAGGGUUCGGCUCCGGAGAGUUCGCCUGAGAAAUCGCGAACACAUCUAAGGAAGGCAGCAGGCGCGAAAAUUACCCACUCUCAGCACGAGGAGGUAGUGACGAAAAAUAACGAGACCGUUCUCUUAUGA